RNAcentral lists this long non-coding RNA (1407 nucleotides) under Capsicum annuum. RNAcentral's name for it is "long non-coding RNA (CANN_LNC018339)". The record is from RNAcentral. Lineage: Eukaryota; Viridiplantae; Streptophyta; Magnoliopsida; Solanales; Solanaceae.
AUCUCUUCUCCUAACCUAGCAAACAACAACAAACACACUUUUUGCUUCCAAAUCGCGAACAGUCGAACCCAGCUCCCCCAAAAUCGACCUUGCGCUCAACCAAUAUCAGGAAAGACAUAACCCAAUUCUCACAACCAACAACCCGUAACCAACCCAUUUUUAGCCUCCAUCACAUGCCUCAUGCGAUAUUAUAGCAAGGAAGAACCUCGAAGCUUCUAGAAAAACAACCUAGGUGUCGUCUCCAAUGGUUCAAUUCUGCAAAUUUUACGAUAACUCAUACGGAUUCGUACAUAUUUGGUAAAUUUUCAUUGGUUAUUGGGUACAUUUUUGUUUUCCCCGCAUUUGAUUGGUCCACUGGUUUCAGAUUUGUGGAAGAAAAUAAAAAUUGGUUACGAUCCAGGGAUCCUAGGGGUUUUGAAUUUUGAAUUCCCUCUGAAAAAAUCCCUAAGAUACCCCCCAAUUUUCAUCUUCUAUAUAAGAACAUAUUAGGCCACAGCUUUAGGGGUUGGAUAUUUGAGGCUCUGGCUUGGGGGAGGGGGGUCUUUUUUGAGAACUAGGAUUCAAAAAUCGUGGGUUAGAAAUUCUGAGGAGGUCUUUCUCUUCUUUCAAAGGUUAGGCUCAAAAAGUGGGGAGAUUGAAAAAUUUAUGAAAAUCAAAGGUUGGAAAAUUGAGAGGCAGAAAGAGGGGGGGUUCGAAAUUUUCCAAGGAAGUUAGGUGGGAGAAAAUUUCUUUCAGGUCAAGAAGAAAAGGUUUUGGGAAAGAGCUAUUUGGUUUUCGGGAAAAUAGUAGUUUUUGUUCGGCAAAGAUCUAAGAAAGGUAGUUGUUUAGUUGAGGCUUUCACAUCGAUACUGAUUUUCUCAGUGAUGGUAAAGUCCAAACGACCAACUUCCAAAACACACUCACCCCAAUUUCCCCCUUUAGCUUAAUUAACCCAACAUCUCACCCCAACAAUUUUGGCCCAAAAUAAUAACAAUAAACAACACCGCUCCAGCCCACCUUCCAAACAUCAUGACCCGGCCUAAUCCUCUUAAUCUCUUCUCCUAACCUAGCAAACAACAACAAACACACUUUUUGCUUCCAAAUCGCGAACAGUCGAACCCAGCUCCCCCAAAAUCGACCUUGCGCUCAACCAAUAUCAGGAAAGACAUAACCCAAUUCUCACAACCAACAACCCGUAACCAACCCAUUUUUAGCCUCCAUCACAUGCCUCAUGCGAUAUUAUAGCAAGGAAGAACCUCGAAGCUUCUAGAAAAACAACCUAGGUGUCGUCUCCAAUGGUUCAAUUCUGCAAAUUUUACGAUAACUCAUACGGAUUCGUACAUAUUUGGUAAAUUUUCAUUGGUUAUUGGGUACAUUUUUGUUUUCCCCGCAUUUGAUUGGUCCACUGGUUUCAGAUUUGUGGAAGAA